RNAcentral lists this ribosomal RNA (253 nucleotides) under uncultured bacterium. Its description in RNAcentral is "partial 16S ribosomal RNA". It matches the Rfam family "Bacterial small subunit ribosomal RNA", at positions 524 to 776 of the family's 1533-position model. The record is from RNAcentral.
UACAGAGGUCCCAAGCGUUGUUCGGAUUCACUGGGCGUAAAGGGUGCGUAGGCGGUUGGGUAAGUCUGAUGUGAAAUCUCACAGCUUAACUGUGAAACUGCAUUGGAUACUAUCCGGCUAGAGGAAUGGAGGGGAGACUGGAAUACUUGGUGUAGCAGUGAAAUGCGUAGAUAUCAGGAGGAAUACCGGUGGUGUAGACGGCUCUCUGGACCGCAACUGACGCUGAGACACGAAAGCGUGGGUAGCAAACAGG